RNAcentral lists this ribosomal RNA (439 nucleotides) under uncultured bacterium. RNAcentral's name for it is "partial 16S ribosomal RNA". It matches the Rfam family "Bacterial small subunit ribosomal RNA", at positions 339 to 795 of the family's 1533-position model. The record is from RNAcentral.
CUACGGGACGCUGCAGUGGGGAAUAUUGCACAAUGGGGGAAACCCUGAUGCAGCAACGCCGCGUGGAGGAUGACACAUUUCGGUGCGUAAACUCCUUUUAUAGGUCAAGAUAAUGACGGUAGCCUAUGAAUAAGCGCCGGCUAACUCCGUGCCAGCAGCCGCGGUAAUACGGAGGGCGCAAGCGUUACUCGGAAUCACUGGGCGUAAAGAGCAUGUAGGCGGGUUAAUAAGUCAGAAGUGAAAUCCAAUAGCUUAACUAUUGAACUGCUUUUGAAACUGUUAACCUAGAGUGUGGGAGAGGUAGAUGGAAUUUCUGGUGUAGGGGUAAAAUCCGUAGAGAUCAGAAGGAAUACCGAUUGCGAAGGCGAUCUACUGGAACAUUACUGACGCUGAGAUGCGAAAGCGUGGGGAGCAAACAGGAUUAGAUACCCCUGUAGUC